GGGGGAUAACGCAGCGAAAGCUGUGCUAAUACCGCAUACGAUCUCUGGAUGAAAGCGGGGGACCUUCGGGCCUCGCGCGAUUGGAGCGGCCGAUAUCAGAUUAGCUAGUUGGCGGGGUAAAGGCCCACCAAGGCGACGAUCUGUAGCUGGUCUGAGAGGACGACCAGCCACACUGGAACUGAGACACGGUCCAGACUCCUACGGGAGGCAGCAGUGGGGAAUUUUGGACAAUGGGCGCAAGCCUGAUCCAGCAAUGCCGCGUGCAGGAUGAAGGCCUUCGGGUUGUAAACUGCUUUUGUACGGAACGAAACGGUUGUCUCUAAUAAAGACGGCUAAUGACGGUACCGUAAGAAUAAGCACCGGCUAACUACGUG
This 374-nucleotide ribosomal RNA is filed under the name uncultured bacterium. RNAcentral's name for it is "bacterial SSU rRNA". It matches the Rfam family "Bacterial small subunit ribosomal RNA", at positions 138 to 507 of the family's 1533-position model. The record is from RNAcentral.